Vicia villosa (hairy vetch) is the source of this 429-nucleotide long non-coding RNA. RefSeq lists it as uncharacterized. The record is from RefSeq and is a predicted model, not a curated record. NCBI's taxonomy places the organism in Eukaryota, Viridiplantae, Streptophyta, Magnoliopsida, Fabales, Fabaceae. The transcript has 2 exons.
UUUUGUUAUUUACAUUGUCUAAAGAGUUUUAGAAUUGUUGUUUUUGAAGAAAAUCAUGAUGAAGAGAGGUAUCAUUGUCCUAAUGCUGGUGGCUUUGUUCGCUCUUUUUAACCAGAGCUAUGGAGACAAUUUGUGUACUUAUUUUGGGUCGGAAUUGUCACCAUGUGUUCAUAGUUCUUCAUACUGUCUUACAGAAUUUAAAAGUAAACAUGGGUUCUAUCCUCAAGAUUGCACUUGUAUAAUUUCAUACUACUAUAGGAUACCCAGAUGCUCAUGUACUGCUCCUUGUCCACCCCCGGCGAAAGAAAAGAAGAUUUUGUCUCUUUAAUUUUAUGAUGCACAAAUAAUCAGAUUGGUAUUUAAGAAUAAAAAUGUUGAGAACUUUAUGAAGCACCAUGUUUAGUUUACUUUAAUAUAUGAGUUAUUAUA